GAUGAACGCUGGCGGCGUGCCUAAUACAUGCAAGUCGAGCGAACGGACGAGAAGCUUGCUUCUCUGAUGUUAGCGGCGGACGGGGGAGUAACACGUGGAUAACCUACCUAUAAGACUGGGAUAACUUCGGGAAACCGUAGCUAAUACCGGAUAAUAUUUUGAACCGCAUGGUUCAAAAGUGAAAGACGGUCUUGCUGUCACUUAUAGAUGGAUCCGCGCUGCAUUAGCUAGUUGGUAAGGUAACGGCUUACCAAGGCAACGAUGCAUAGCCGACCUGAGAGGGUGAUCGGCCACACUGGAACUGAGACACGGUCCAGACUCCUACGGGAGGCAGCAGUAGGGAAUCUUCCGCAAUGUGCGAAAGCCUGACGGAGCAACGCCGCGUGAGUGAUGAAGGUCUUCGGAUCGUAAAACUCUGUUAUUCGGGAAGAACAUAUGUGUAAGUAACUGUGCACAUCUUGACGGUACCUAAUCAGAAAGCCACGGCUAACUACGUG
RNAcentral lists this ribosomal RNA (497 nucleotides) under uncultured bacterium. Its description in RNAcentral is "partial 16S ribosomal RNA". It matches the Rfam family "Bacterial small subunit ribosomal RNA", at positions 28 to 507 of the family's 1533-position model. The record is from RNAcentral.